RNAcentral lists this ribosomal RNA (440 nucleotides) under uncultured bacterium. RNAcentral describes it as "partial 16S ribosomal RNA". It matches the Rfam family "Bacterial small subunit ribosomal RNA", at positions 338 to 795 of the family's 1533-position model. The record is from RNAcentral.
CCUACGGGAGGCAGCAGUGGGGAAUAUUGCACAAUGGGGGAAACCCUGACGCAGCGACGCCGCGUGAGUGAAGAAGUAUUUCGGUACGUAAAGCUCUAUCAGCAGGGAAGAAAAUGACGGUACCUGACUAAGAAGCCCCGGCUAAAUACGUGCCAGCAGCCGCGGUAAUACGUAGGGGGCAAGCGUUAUCCGGAUUUACUGGGUGUAAAGGGAGCGUAGACGGCAGCGCAAGUCUGGAGUGAAAUCCCAUGGCUUAACCAUGGAACUGCUUUGGAAACUGUGCAGCUAGAGUGCAGGAGAGGUAAGCGGAAUUCCUAGUGUAGCGGUGAAAUGCGUAGAUAUUAGGAGGAACACCAGUGGCGAAGGCGGCUUACUGGACUGUAACUGACGUUGAGGCUCGAAAGCGUGGGGAGCAAACAGGAUUAGAUACCCGAGUAGUC